Molecule: ribosomal RNA, 253 nt
Filed under: uncultured bacterium
Lineage: Bacteria
Description: partial 16S ribosomal RNA
Rfam family: Bacterial small subunit ribosomal RNA
Source: RNAcentral
AACGUAGGUACCGAGCGUUAUCCGGAUUUAUUGGGCGUAAAGAGCGUGUAGGCGGCCAUGUAGGUCUGCUGUGAAAACUCGAGGCUUAACCUCGAGAUGUCGGCGGAAACCAUCUGGCUAGAGUCCGGAAGAGGAGAGUGGAAUUCCUGGUGUAGCGGUGAAAUGCGCAGAUAUCAGGAGGAACGCCAAUUGCGAAGGCAGCUCGCUGGGACGUUACUGACGCUGAGACGCGAAAGCGUGGGGAGCAAACAGG